Molecule: non-coding RNA, 99 nt
Filed under: Methanomassiliicoccus luminyensis
Lineage: Archaea; Methanobacteriati; Thermoplasmatota; Thermoplasmata; Methanomassiliicoccales; Methanomassiliicoccaceae
Description: Pyrrolysine insertion sequence mttB
Rfam family: Pyrrolysine insertion sequence mttB
Source: RNAcentral
UAGGCUGAUGCCAAGAUUCCAGAUGUGCAGGCGGGCCACGAGAAGACCCUCACUACUCUUCUCCCCGCUCUGGCCGGUGCGAACACCAUCUAUGGCGCC